Molecule: ribosomal RNA, 487 nt
Filed under: uncultured bacterium
Lineage: Bacteria
Description: bacterial SSU rRNA
Rfam family: Bacterial small subunit ribosomal RNA
Source: RNAcentral
CUACGUGCCAGCAGCCGCGGUAAUACGGGGGGUGCGAGCGUUAAUCGGAAUAACUGGGCGUAAAGGGCACGCAGGCGGUGACUUAAGUGAGAUGUGAAAGCCCCGAGCUUAACUUGGGAAUUGCAUUUCAUACUGGGUCGCUAGAGUACUUUAGGGAGGGGUAGAAUUCCACGUGUAGCAGUGAAAUGCGUAGAGAUGUGGAGGAAUACCGAUGGCGAAGGCAGCCUCCUGGGAUAACACUGACGUUCAUGCUCGAAAGCGUGGGUAGCAAACAGGAUUAGAUACCCUGGUAGUCCACGCCCUAAACGAUGUCAAUUAGCUGUUGGGCAACUUGAUUGCUUAGUAGCGUAGCUAACGCGUGAAAUUGACCGCCUGGGGAGUACGGUCGCAAGAUUAAAACUCAAAGGAAUUGACGGGGACCCGCACAAGCGGUGGAUGAUGUGGAUUAAUUCGAUGCAACGCGAAGAACCUUACCUGGUCUUGACAU